This 532-nucleotide ribosomal RNA is filed under the name Colletotrichum viniferum. RNAcentral describes it as "partial large subunit ribosomal RNA". It matches the Rfam family "Eukaryotic large subunit ribosomal RNA", at positions 92 to 648 of the family's 3401-position model. The record is from RNAcentral. Lineage: Eukaryota; Fungi; Ascomycota; Sordariomycetes; Glomerellales; Glomerellaceae.
AGUGGAGCGGCUACAGCUCAAAUUUGAAAUCUGGCCCCAGGCCCGAGUUGUAAUUUGCAGAGGAUGCUUUUGGUGCGGUGCCUUCCAAGUUCCCUAGAACGGGACGCCAGAGAGGGUGAGAGCCCCGUACAGUUGGACACCAAGCCUUUGUAAAGCUCCUUCGACGAGUCGAGUAGUUUGGGAAUGCUGCUCAAAAUGGGAGGUAUAUUUCUUCUAAAGCUAAAUACCGGCCAGAGACCGAUAGCGCACAAGUAGAGUGAUCGAAAGAUGAAAAGCACUUUGAAAAGAGGGUUAAACAGCACGUGAAAUUGUUAAAAGGGAAGCGCUUGUGACCAGACUUGCGUCCGGUGAAUCACCCAGCUCUCGCGGCUGGGGCACUUCGCCGGCUCAGGCCAGCAUCAGCUCGCUGUCGGGGACAAAAGCUUCGGGAACGUAGCUCUCUUCGGGGAGUGUUAUAGCCUGUUGCAUAAUACCCUUCGGCGGGCUGAGGUACGCGCUCCGCAAGGAUGCUGGCAUAAUGGUCAUCAGCGAC